GGGGAAACCCGGACUAAUACGCCGUAACAUCUUAAAGUGGCAUCACUUAAAGAUUAAAGCUCCGGCGGUUUUGGAUGAGUGUGCGCCCCAUUAGGUAGUUGGUUGAGGUAACGGCUCACCAAGCCUGCGAUGGGUAACUGGUGUGGGAGCACGACCAGUCACACGGGCACUGAGACACGGGCCCG
This 185-nucleotide ribosomal RNA is filed under the name uncultured Sphingobacteriales bacterium. Its description in RNAcentral is "partial 16S ribosomal RNA". It matches the Rfam family "Bacterial small subunit ribosomal RNA", at positions 150 to 334 of the family's 1533-position model. The record is from RNAcentral. Lineage: Bacteria; Pseudomonadati; Bacteroidota; Sphingobacteriia; Sphingobacteriales.